UACGUAGGGGGCAAGCGUUGUCCGGAUUUAUUGGGCGUAAAGAGCGCGUAGGCGGCCAGGUAGGUCAGCUGUGAAAACUCGAGGCUCAACCUCGAGACGUCGGUUGAAACCACCUGGCUAGAGUCCGGAAGAGGAGAGUGGAAUUCCUGGUGUAGCGGUGAAAUGCGCAGAUAUCAGGAGGAACACCAGUGGCGAAGGCGGCUCUCUGGGACGGUACUGACGCUGAGGCGCGAAAGCGUGGGGAGCGAACAGG
RNAcentral lists this ribosomal RNA (253 nucleotides) under uncultured bacterium. RNAcentral's name for it is "partial 16S ribosomal RNA". It matches the Rfam family "Bacterial small subunit ribosomal RNA", at positions 524 to 776 of the family's 1533-position model. The record is from RNAcentral.